This 101-nucleotide transfer RNA is filed under the name uncultured Gammaproteobacteria bacterium. Its description in RNAcentral is "tRNA-Ile". The stretch from base 1 to 73 matches the Rfam family "tRNA". From Rfam's summary of the family: Transfer RNA (tRNA) molecules are approximately 80 nucleotides in length. Their secondary structure includes four short double-helical elements and three loops (D, anti-codon, and T loops). Lineage: Bacteria; Pseudomonadati; Pseudomonadota; Gammaproteobacteria. The record is from RNAcentral.
GGUCUGUAGCUCAGUUGGUUAGAGCGCACCCCUGAUAAGGGUGAGGUCGGAGGUUCAAAUCCUCCCAGACCCACCACGGUCUGCAGAGAUCGACGAGGGUG